GACGUAGGGGGCGAGCGUUGUCCGGAUUCAUUGGGCGUAAAGAGCGUGUAGGCGGCCAGGUAGGUCGGAUGUGAAAACUCGAGGCUCAACCUCGAGAUGUCAUCCGAAACCAUCUGGCUAGAGUCCGGAAGAGGAGAGUGGAAUUCCUGGUGUAGCGGUGAAAUGCGCAGAUAUCAGGAAGAACACCGAUGGCGAAGGCAGCUCUCUGGUACGGUACUGACGCUGAGACGCGAAAGCGUGGGGAGCGAACAGG
RNAcentral lists this ribosomal RNA (253 nucleotides) under uncultured prokaryote. RNAcentral's name for it is "partial 16S ribosomal RNA". It matches the Rfam family "Bacterial small subunit ribosomal RNA", at positions 524 to 776 of the family's 1533-position model. The record is from RNAcentral.